UGCUGCAUGGCUGUCGUCAGCUCGUGUCGUGAGAUGUUGGGUUAAGUCCCGCAACGAGCGCAACCCUUGUCUUCAGUUGCCAGCACGUAAAGGUGGGAACUCUGAAGAUACUGCCCCGGUUAACGGGGAGGAAGGUGGGGAUGACGUCAAGUCCUCAUGGCCCUUAUGCCCAGGGCUACACACGUGCUACAAUGGCAUAUACAAAGGGUCGCGAUACCGCGAGGUGGAGCCAAUCCCAUAAAGUAUGCCACAGUCCGGAUCGCAGUCUGCAACUCGACUGCGUGAAGUCGGAAUCGCUAGUAAUCGUGAAUCAGAAUGUCACGGUGAAUACGUUCCCGGGCCUU
Molecule: ribosomal RNA, 344 nt
Filed under: uncultured Desulfobotulus sp.
Lineage: Bacteria; Pseudomonadati; Thermodesulfobacteriota; Desulfobacteria; Desulfobacterales; Desulfobacteraceae
Description: bacterial SSU rRNA
Rfam family: Bacterial small subunit ribosomal RNA
Source: RNAcentral